Lactuca sativa (garden lettuce) is the source of this 106-nucleotide small nucleolar RNA. The record is from RefSeq and is a predicted model, not a curated record. NCBI's taxonomy places the organism in Eukaryota, Viridiplantae, Streptophyta, Magnoliopsida, Asterales, Asteraceae.
AGGUCAUUUUGAGAUCCAUUCUUAGUAAACCUUUAUAUCGCUCCCAUGCCUCAUCAAGUGACUCACCUGGUUGUUGCUCAAAGUUAGUUAUUUCCCUCUUGAGUUU